This 216-nucleotide long non-coding RNA is filed under the name Mytilus galloprovincialis (Mediterranean mussel). Lineage: Eukaryota; Metazoa; Mollusca; Bivalvia; Mytilida; Mytilidae. The record is from RNAcentral.
CCUGCGCAUCUCUCCUUGUCGGCCUAUUCUUAUUGUCAUACGAGUCUGCGUUCCUUCAGACACUUGUCAAAAACAAGAAGAUAAAAAAAUCCUUUAUCAAGUCAGGGAUAUUACAGUUGUUAUCCAUUCGUUUGAUGUGUUUGAGCUUUUUGUUUUGCCAUUUACUUAGAGACUUUCCGUUUUGAAUUUUCAUCAGAGUUCGUUAUUUUAUUUUGG